UGAGGAAUUUUGGACAAUGGGGGCAACCCUGAUCCAGCAACGCCGCGUGAAGGACGAAGGUCUUCGGAUUGUAAACUUCUUUUAUUUGGGACUAAUAAAGCCUUGGAAACAGGGAGAUUGAAGGUACCAGAUGAAUAAGCCACGGCUAACUUCGUGCCAGCAGCCGCGGUAAUACGAAGGUGGCAAGCGUUACUCGGAAUUACUAGGCGUAAAGGGCAGGUAGGUGGUUUGGUAAGUCUGUCGUUAAAACGUUCGGCUCAACCGGACGAGGUCGAUGGAUACUGCCAGGCUUGAGUAUGGGAGAGGGUACUGGAAUUCCCGGUGUAGCGGUGAAAUGCGCAGAGAUCGGGAGGAACACCAAUGGCGAAAGCAGGUACCUGGACCAUUACUGACACUCAACUGCGAAAGCUAGGGGAGCAAACA
Molecule: ribosomal RNA, 423 nt
Filed under: uncultured prokaryote
Description: bacterial SSU rRNA
Rfam family: Bacterial small subunit ribosomal RNA
Source: RNAcentral